GACGGAGGGUGCUAGCGUUGUUCGGAAUCACUGGGCGUAAAGGGCGCGUAGGCGGCUUCAGGUGUCGGAUGUGAAAGCCCGGGGCUCAACCCCGGAGGUGCAUCCGAAACUCUGGGGCUGGAGGCCGGAAGAGGAGGGUGGAAUACCCAGUGUAGAGGUGAAAUUCGUAGAGAUUGGGGGGAACACCGGUGGCGAAAGCGGCUCUCUGGUCCGGUCCUGACGCUGAGGCGCGAAAGAGUGGGGAGCAAACAGG
This 253-nucleotide ribosomal RNA is filed under the name uncultured bacterium. RNAcentral's name for it is "partial 16S ribosomal RNA". It matches the Rfam family "Bacterial small subunit ribosomal RNA", at positions 524 to 776 of the family's 1533-position model. The record is from RNAcentral.